Long non-coding RNA from Helianthus annuus (common sunflower), 2516 nucleotides. RefSeq lists it as uncharacterized. The transcript has 3 exons. NCBI's taxonomy places the organism in Eukaryota, Viridiplantae, Streptophyta, Magnoliopsida, Asterales, Asteraceae. The record is from RefSeq and is a predicted model, not a curated record.
UGUACGAGGAAAAUUAGUCAAAGCAAUUAAAUGCUUUUUCCGAUGAACCCAAAAGCAGUGAACGCCACUUCAGUUUCCCCUGUAAUACGCCGCUCUUCUCCUUUCUCUUCGAUCAGAAUGGUUCCGGCUAGAUACUUCCGGUCGCAAGUAUCAAUCAACAACAACCCCUUGACACGCAGGUAUGUUGUUCUUCACGGGUCUCUCAAUCGAGCAGAUUUAUCUGAUCACCACAGUUCCCUGACGCGAACUGUUCCUCAGGUAUCAACAACCCCUUUGCUCGCAGGCUAGUUGACUACCACAGGUCCUCGAUCGUUCAAUUAUUCCGCUCUGAUACCAAUUAAAGGGAAUUGGUACCAGAUUAGUAGAUAAUCGGAAGUUAAGAAGAGUAAUUGGCUAACACCCAAUGUUUAUUAUCAAGGAAACUUAACUCAAAACCUUGCAAAUUACAAUCCCUACCAAUUAGAUUGGUAUAUAUAGCUAACCUAAACGCGUUAGACUAUAACUAGGACGCUUAUUAAUUAAUUACAUGAUAUUUAUCUAAUACACAUCCUAACCCAACAUGUAUAGGAUACUUAGAUAACAAUCCACUAAUUAAUUAAUAUAUUGUUUAUUACUUGUCUUGCACUCCAAGCAAUCCUCUUAGCCAUCCUUCACGCAUGUAAGCCACGGAUUAGACUAGGAAUUCCCAACACAUUCAGCCUCACUCCAAGGAAAUGGGUUAAUCCCGUUAACUCCAUAUAACCAUAUUUUUAAGUGGUUUUUGGUUUAAAAAAGAAAAGAAUAAUUAAUGUAAUCUCUUAACAUCCCGUUAACAUAUAACCCCUUUAAUGCCCUUUAACACAAGGAAUGAUGUAAUACCGGUUAAUAUGUCAUGUCACCAUUAACACACCAAAUGUUAGAGUACACCCCGUUGCCAUACGAGUAGUUAAUCACUUAAAAUGUUAUUGAGAAGUUUUGUAUAUUGAAUAUGCACCAAAUGAAUCAUUACAUUGUCAUGUGAUUCGGUAGCUGCUUUCUUCGUAGCUUUGAAUUUUUCCUUUCACCAACGAUGAUUGAUGUAACAUAUUAAGGAACAAUUUUUUUUUAAAUGUGUUCUUGGCCUCUUGGGUUGGUUGAUACAAUAAUGUUAAGGUCACAAAUUUUAACACUAAACAAAUUACUUCAGAGUAAAUUAUAAUUUUGUAGGUUUAUAAUUAUAUAUUUCUAGGUUUAUAUAUAAUAUAUAGGGUUACUAGGUUAUCACCCGUGAAUACUCACGGGUUGUUAAUCUAUCUUUCUUAACAAAAAACAUAUAUACCAAAGGCACAUCAAAUGUAAUGCAUGGGUUUAAUUUAAAAGCAAAACCAAUAGUAGUUGAACUCAAUGAAUAAUAAACUAUCUUUGGAUUUGCAGUCCAUUAACAAUCGACACACAUGGUUUUUAAUUAUGGGUUUGCAUUUAUUAUUCUAAUGAAAUAAUAGUGAUAAUACCAGCGAAUUGCGCACUCUUGAAAAAUCACAUGUUUGUCCUUCUUAUAUAAAUGAUUUAGGUUACAUCAAAAAAAGUAUAUGAGGACAAAAUUAUAAUGACAAUCGGAGUUUAAAAUACAUCCACUUCCCCGAUAUAGAGUCCGGUAGGCGGUACUCCUCUCCUCUACCCAUGAGAUCGAAAAAGAGUUCUCGUAUUCGGUUACAAAAUACGGUUUUACUUUGAUUGUUUGCUAAAAAAAAAACAAAAUAAAAUGUUAGUGCAAAAUCUAAAAAAAUUAAAACUGAAAAUAAAAAAAGAAAACAGAGAAUUAAUAAAAAAGUCGGUUACUUUAUUAGGAUAUCACUGACUACACAGUGAUUCAUAUCCCUUUCUCAACCACACCCUUUUAUAAAAAAGCCCUAACUUCAUUUGCAUACAAACAUCCUCACCAAAUCGCCAUUCACAGUCGGAGCAUUCAAACAGAAAUCAAUAACAGUCAAUGACGAGUGCUUCAAAUGCGCGAAACAAACAAAAGAAAGAAAAGGAAGUGAUCAUGCUAACAGAUUCGGACUCAGAAGAACCUUUCACUUCGGAAUCAAUUGACUGGGACGCACCAGAACCAAAUAUCAUUUGGAUGCCGUCCUCUUGUUCACGUUUUCGGAUAUCGGUAAAGGUCGCAAAAGCCAUGGGAAUCGAUCACUGCCGUACGGUGACCAUUCAAAGGCGUGGUGUCGAAACCACUUUGAACGUCUCGGCUGAACCAAAAAGAGGAAAAAAGAAAAACAGGUUUACUGUAUUGGGAUGGUCAGCAUGGGUUCGUGAAAACAACAUCAAGCAGGGUUAUCUUUGCGUUUUAGAGUGGUAUGAGGAUAUGCCUACACUCUUUGUUAGGGAUAUAAUCAAAGAAUAAUGGGGUUAGUACCAUAGAUGAAAACCGUUCAACCAUUUUAUAUGGUAAUUUUGGCUAAAAAACGGUUUUCGCAAUAAGUAGAUAAGUAAGUAGCAAUGGUUUUUGUAGAACCUGCUUAAAUAUUUUGGUUUAUGUUAGAUGUUGGAAUGGAAUAGUA